This 1075-nucleotide ribosomal RNA is filed under the name Flavobacterium cerinum. RNAcentral's name for it is "bacterial SSU rRNA". It matches the Rfam family "Bacterial small subunit ribosomal RNA", at positions 56 to 1138 of the family's 1533-position model. Lineage: Bacteria; Pseudomonadati; Bacteroidota; Flavobacteriia; Flavobacteriales; Flavobacteriaceae. The record is from RNAcentral.
UGCAAGUCGAGGGGUAGAAGUUUUCGGACUUUGAGACCGGCGCACGGGUGCGUAACGCGUAUGCAAUCUACCUUUUACAGAGGGAUAGCCCAGAGAAAUUUGGAUUAAUACCUCAUAGUAUUAUUGAAUGGCAUCAUUUAAUAAUUAAAGUUCCAACGGUAAAAGAUGAGCAUGCGUCCCAUUAGCUAGUUGGUGUGGUAACGGCACACCAAGGCAAUGAUGGGUAGGGGUCCUGAGAGGGAGAUCCCCCACACUGGUACUGAGACACGGACCAGACUCCUACGGGAGGCAGCAGUGAGGAAUAUUGGACAAUGGGCGCAAGCCUGAUCCAGCCAUGCCGCGUGCAGGAUGACGGUCCUAUGGAUUGUAAACUGCUUUUAUACAGGAAGAAACCCUUGCUCGUGAGCAAGAUUGACGGUACUGUAGGAAUAAGGAUCGGCUAACUCCGUGCCAGCAGCCGCGGUAAUACGGAGGAUCCAAGCGUUAUCCGGAAUCAUUGGGUUUAAAGGGUCCGUAGGCGGUUUUAUAAGUCAGUGGUGAAAUCCGGUAGCUCAACUAUCGAACUGCCAUUGAUACUGUAGAACUUGAAUUGCUGUGAAGUAACUAGAAUAUGUAGUGUAGCGGUGAAAUGCUUAGAUAUUACAUGGAAUACCAAUUGCGAAGGCAGGUUACUAACAUCAUAUUGACGCUGAUGGACGAAAGCGUGGGGAGCGAACAGGAUUAGAUACCCUGGUAGUCCACGCCGUAAACGAUGGAUACUAGCUGUUCGGUAGCAAUACUGAGUGGCUAAGCGAAAGUGAUAAGUAUCCCACCUGGGGAGUACGAACGCAAGUUUGAAACUCAAAGGAAUUGACGGGGGCCCGCACAAGCGGUGGAGCAUGUGGUUUAAUUCGAUGAUACGCGAGGAACCUUACCAGGGCUUAAAUGUAGGUUGACAGGCUUGGAAACAGGUUUUUCUUCGGACAACUUACAAGGUGCUGCAUGGUUGUCGUCAGCUCGUGCCGUGAGGUGUCAGGUUAAGUCCUAUAACGAGCGCAACCCCUGUCGUUAGUUGCCAGCGAGUCAUGUCGGGAAC